This 2305-nucleotide long non-coding RNA is filed under the name Homo sapiens (human). RNAcentral describes it as "HSALNT0339233". The record is from RNAcentral. Lineage: Eukaryota; Metazoa; Chordata; Mammalia; Primates; Hominidae.
AUUAGUUAUUAAUUUACAUUAGUCUGGUAUACAUGAGGCAGUCUUUAACUAUGACCAAUGAUCAGUCAUAUAUGACCAAUUUCUUUCAAAACCCGAAAAGAAUUAUUGCUUCAGCACAGUUAAUGAUUAAUGCAAAGCUGCUAUUAUGAGUUAGAUUCUGCUUCAUUAAAGAUAAGCUAUCAAGGAAAACUGAACUGAAAAAUUAUAAAUGUUUGACUUCAGAUUUCAAGUUUCUUUGGCUAAACUUCAGCUGCCUUUCAUCUCAAUUUUACUUCAAACUCAAUACAUGUGUAAUGCUAUAUAAACAUUCUCUUCUGAUUUUCAGUGUAUUUUGAGAAUUGCAAUGAGAAGAAAAGAUGAAAAAUGCAAUUUUAAGAAAGUUUCUACAAACUCGAGUUAAUGCAUAUAGGAGAACAAGAAGAUUUAUACUAGCCAUGCAAGGAAUCUUUGGAAGUCUAACAGACCUGACUUGAAGAGAAGGCUUUAAACAAGAAAUUCUUCAUUCUGGAACAGUGAUUCUUAAAGUGCGGUUCAGAGACCCUGGGAGACACUGACAUUCUUUCAGAGUGUGAGUGAGGAUUUCCUCUUUGCAACUACAAUCUGUGUAAGGUUGGAUUUUCUUUACAUACAUAAACUAAAAUAAGAUUGCAAUAAGAUGAAUGCAGAAGCAGAUAAGAGAAUCCAGCUGUCUUAAGUUAGACUUCACAGAGAUUUGCAAAAAUCCAAACAAGACCACUCUCGUCAUUAAAGUUAUUUUCCAUUUGUUAUGGUGAACUUAUUUUGCAGGAAAUUUGUUAUUUAUAGUAACAUACAAUUUUGUUUUUUGAUCAUUUUAAAUAAAUUAAUAAAUAUUAUAAGUUUUCUAUUUUUAAAAUUAUACAUGUCAGAAAAGAACAGUUCUUUCAGGUCCUCAACAAUUUUAAGACUAUUAACUUGUUUUGGAUCAAAAAGUUCUAGAUUUGCUAUUCUAGACAUGAAUCCUUUGAAAUUAAUUGGCUUCAUAAGUAUAUUUUUCAAGUUUGUGGCUUGUCCUGUAACCUUCUACUGUGUAGAAGUUUUAAAUUUUAAUUUAAAGAAAUUUAAAAUUUUUUCAUUUUUGUUUGUGCUUUUGGUGUCAUAUUUAGGAAAUCCUUCUCUACCUUGAGUUCAUGAAAAUAUCCUCUUAUAUUUAGUAUUUACAGUUUGUUCUUCAUCUUUAGGUCUAUAAUUUAUUGAAAAUAUAGUUUUGUAUGUGAUGUAAGCUAAAGAUAUUUUUUAAAACUUGAUAUGGAUAACACAUUUUGGCAAUAUUAUUCAUCCACUCAUUCUCCCACUGACUUUCCCUCUGCCACUUACUUACCUACAUAAGAAUUUGUCGUGGAGAUUCUCUUUUCUAUUCUUUUAGUCUAAUGGCUUAAUUGUUGAUCAAUUACCCUUUUUAACUAUUGAUGCUUUAGAGUAAGUCUUGAUAUAAAGCCAUGUAAGUCCCUUGAAUUAGUCUCCCACUUUUCCUUCUUAAAAACAUUCUGGGAUCUUCUUGGCCUUUAACUCCUCUGACUUAAUUUUAGGAUCAAUUUCUCAGAUUACAUUAACAACCUGUUCAAAUUGCAUAGAUUUUAUAGGUAAAUCUGUAUAAAAUUUACAUGUUAUAAUAUUGGGGCUUUUUAUUCAUAAACAUUUUCACCAACGUUUUAGUUUCAUAUCUUCCAAUAAGAUUUUAUAAUUUUUCAUACCUAUCUUAGAUGAUUUUGGUUGCAUUUAUUUUUUAUAGUUUUAGUUUUAUUGUCAAUGCAGCUUUUUCCAAUUCAAUUUUAUAACAGUUUUGCUGGUUAAAAAAAAAAAAAAGACUAUUUAUUUUGUGUAUUGGUUUUUAAAUUGUACAAUGUUUCUGAAUUUUCUUACUUCCAAACAGUCGUCUAUAAAUUAUCUUGAUUGUCUAAAAUGUGAAAUUCAUAUACUAUGAGAAUGAUAAUUUUAUUUUUUCAUUUUCAAUUCUUAAACUUCUGAUGACACUUGGCUGGAACCUCCUUCACUAGGUUGAAAAUAAGUGGCAACAGUGGUAUCCUUGUUCUGUUAUUGAUUCCAAGAGCCUGCCUCUAAUGUUUCCCCAUGUAUUAUGAUGUUUGUGUAAAUUUUGAUAGACCUUAUUUAUUAAGUAAAAAGAUUCUCUUCUAGUUCAAGUUUGGUCUACAAGUUUUUAUUGUGAAAGUGAACUGAAUUUUAGAAAUACCUUUUAAUGUGUAUAAAAAAUUAUAUCUUUAUUUCUGUUAAUGUGAUAAAUUACAUUAAGAGAUUUUAUUAAUAUUUGGUUAUCUUUGUAUUUCAA